UCAGACAUGGAUUUAAGAGAAAUGAGGAUGUUCUGAUGUGUAAUAGGUGAGAGAACUUUUUUAUCUGUAAGUAAAGUUUACAACUUUACAAAUAGAACAGUUUUAAAAACAACAGUGUGUUAUGUUGAGGUUGUUUUCUCCAACCAAAAACGUUUGAAUUUCCAGAAAGCCCAGUGCAGUGUUCAAUUAUAUUUUAUUAACAGGUACCUUAAAAGUCAGAUAUUUUCCGUAAAUUCUGUUUACAGUUUCACCUUUGUGUGUGUGCAUGUGUCAUUUACUCAUCAUGUUGUUCCAAACCUUUAUGUCUUUAUUGUGUGGAUCACAAAGAGAUUCUGCAAGUGGACUGUGACCAGAUGCAAUAAAGUGCCUUAAAAAAUUCAGAGUUAUAAGUAUAAAUACAGUACGUAUUUAUUGAUUGAAAGACCAGAGACUCUGCUGACAGAAAGUCUUGACAGCUAAGAACAAGGUCACAUUAACCACCAGAUCCAGUCCGUAUCCAGAUCAGAUGGUCACUGCAGUCCCCCGGAUCCAGUCCGAACCCAGCCCAGACGGUGGAUCAGCACCUAGAGACGACCUCUACAGCCCUGAAUGUCAGCGGAGUCCACAUCAACUAGAUGAGCCCCAGAGACGGAUCCACAUUAAAGACCACAUCACCUAGACGGCUGUCGGCACAAGACCACGGGAACUUUGGUCAGAGGAGAACUGGCCCCCCCGACUGAGCCUGGUUUCUCCCAAGGUUUUUUUCUCCAUUUGUCACCGAUGGAGUUUUGGUUCCUUGCUGCUGUCGCCUCUGGCUUGCUUAGUUGGGGACACUUUCUCUUAACACAAUAUUGCAUUUUAUUUUAUUGUUUUUGAUUAACUACCUUUACCUAUAAUGUGAGUGUUUAAUGUUGCCUUUGGCAUUGUUGAUGUACUGUUUCCUAUUUAAUACUGUACAGCCGCCUUGUCACAAUUCUGUAUUGUUAAAGGCGGUAUAUAAAUAAAGGUGACUUGACUUGA
Molecule: long non-coding RNA, 999 nt
Organism: Labeo rohita (rohu)
Lineage: Eukaryota; Metazoa; Chordata; Actinopteri; Cypriniformes; Cyprinidae
Exons: 2
Source: RefSeq, a predicted model, not a curated record